GGGGGUGGGAGAGCGGGUUUGCCGAACUUCUCUCCGAAGGCUGACUGUGUGCAUGCACUUGGCGCCUUGUGCAGGUUUGGACGAGGGUUUCAUGGAGGCACGUGGGAGCAGGAUAGGUCGCUGGUGGGCCCCCCAAAGAGCCUCUUGGGAUGGCCCAGCGCGCCUUUGGGGUUGGGAAGGAAGAGUGUGAGUGUGUGUGAAUGUCCGUCCUACGGAGGAGGAGGAGAAGGAGAGUGGAUCAAGGAGACUUGAUUUUCAUGGAUUGGCUGCAAUUCCUUAAACCAGACCAGAGUUUCGGGGCAUUAAAGUGAAUUACCGGUGGCAGUGUAGAAGCCAAGAUGGGAGCUUCCAGAAGUGCUUUCGGAAAAAUAAGAGUGAACCCGAGUAAGCAAGCACAGGGACCUGAAAAACCACAGAUGGAGAAACUGAGUGCCAAAAGGUUGCAACAUCCUUGAAGUUAUAUAAAGAACUAAAAUAGCAUAUGGCUUAUCUAGGAGGUAAAGAUGGGAACGGCUUCUGCUUGAUUGGCGCCCUCUUGAAGAGAAAUACUUUUGCUCAGCUUGGAAUGAAAUGCAGAUAACUCUUUAGAAAACUUUCGUAGGAAAAAAGCUCCUCGUGUGAUCUGGAACAAAGACAUUUUCUAAUCAGAUUUAUCAAGCUGUGAAGAGGGAGUUUUAGCGAACGGAAGCAGCAGCAUUCUGUCACCAGGAAAUACUGCUUUAUCCAGAAUUGGUUUGGCCACAGCAACAAAGGCGAUGAAAAUGCUUUAUAUCUUUUAGCAUGAAAUGCGAAGUCUACAUCAACAAGCCCCUCCCUAGAAGGCUGCGGAUCAUCUAGCUGCUGGAAUGUGUAGGUACCCUCAAUGGCUCAGUAGCCAGUGUAGAUCCUGUCUUUUGUAAUCAGUAGCUACAUCUGGCUACUGGGUCUCUGAUGGCAUCUUCUACCUUCUGUUACAGUGUCCUGAGUGAGGUUAUUGGGAAGUACUCAAUAAUAAGGCUUUACCUUGAUUUACACACACAUAUACACACAGGAUUAAGUUCUUGGGUGGGUGGUAAGUCUUCCAUUAUUAGCUGGAGUAUGGGAACCAUCAGGGUUUUAUGAAUAAUGAGGUGCAUUUGAUUUCAGCACCACAAAGGGGAGGAAUCUAGAUAUUUUAUCUGUGUAUUGUUUAUCUGUUUUUUCUCUCUCCCUCCCCUGUGGAAGGUAUCAUUUGGUCACAAAACUAUCUGUCUAUCUAUCUAUCUGUCUAUCUAUCUAUCUACCCACCUACCGAUCUAUUUUAUCCAUUGAUCCAUCCAUCUUUUUCAUCUCUUGACGUUUAAAUGGCAUUCUCAAAAUAAUGUGGUAAUUUAAGGAAAUUUCAUUUGUAGUAAAUACAUCCCAGCAGUGCACUUGUGAUUUGUGGUUGUCUUUUCCCUGUGUCGGAGAAGAUAAAUGCCAGAAAUCUUGAAUGCAGGGGGCAUUUAUGUUGAAAUCAUAUGUGGGAAGGCUUGCAGGCACAACAUCCAGGUCUAGGGCAUGAACCUGGCAUACAAUGUAGAUUUCUGUGUUUGUUGGGCAACAGCUACAUUGUCUGCUGGGUUUCAGGCUACCUGGAAACACGUUCUUCAUGGCUAUUUUCAUCAAUGCUUCACCUAUACUGUUUUGGAAUAACUUUUCCAGGUGGCAUAAGCCAGUGGGCUUUAUCAUUGGACAGAGUGCAGAGAAAGGACCCCAUGAAAGCUGAUCACCUUAGCAAAACAUGAUUUUGUUAUGAUUUCACCAAGAUGGUCACACACCAGCCCGGGAAACUCAAUGAACCACAGACCAGGUGUAAUGCCAUCCUUCCUUCUCUCUGCCUCAACUCUCAAGGAUUGGUCACCUACAUGUUAUUAGUAAUUAUUAUUUGGUUUCUGUACAUAUUUACUAUCAGAAGUCAUAGCACCUAUGGGCCUCAUCACACUGCCCUGCUACCUCACAAUUCCUACUCAUUUUGGCUUCCUGUCCACCAGCAGGAACCCGGUUUGGUUUUGUUCUCCUUUUACCACAGCCCUGUAAUUUUUGUGAAGGACUCUCGGUCUCACCAGAAUCCAUAUCUCUCACUCUGUCCCAAUAUCCCACCCCAUUGUUUGCUCCCUGAAGUGAACUCUAGAAUUUAAGUAAACUGGAUUUUUUUUACCACUGUCCACCAUCUCUUAUGAAACCGGAAGAAGAGCAGCUUUCUUAUGGAAUGACCAAGAACUUGUAAAGAUAAACCACCAGUUUGCAGGAGAAAAGGAAGAAAAGAAUGAUGGAAAUAGCUUCUGGAAAACUAUUUUUUACAUUAUGUUUUGUUUGUCUGUUCCUGGUAAAUAAAUUUAAAUCUCUAAGCAUUAAAAAAAAAAUAGACCAAUCUAAACCAUUAAAUUCUCAGUAAUAAAGGAACAUAACUUUUAAAGGAGCUGUUAUAAAUUCUUGGUUAUAUGAACUGGAGAUAUUUAGUUAGUAAACAUGUAUUUUAAAUGAAUAUGACUUAACAGAUUUAAAGUAGAAAAUGAAUAUACGGAAUGAAAGGAUAAAUGUCUGCAUGUAAUAGUCGAUUUUAGUGAUAUAAUGUAUUUUUGUCACCCCAUGCUGAAUUCAGUAAAAAUAAAGCCAAUGACUUGGAGCUUUUAAAA
Molecule: long non-coding RNA, 2636 nt
Organism: Orcinus orca (killer whale)
Lineage: Eukaryota; Metazoa; Chordata; Mammalia; Artiodactyla; Delphinidae
Exons: 6
Source: RefSeq, a predicted model, not a curated record